GACUUAUUUCUGUUUGAUGGAUUUUAGCAGAGGAUUUUCUCUAUUGGACUGAUGGAUCUUGGAUUUUCCAGAGGAUUGACUGCCAUUAUGAACUCCUGCUGAUGCUCUCUGCCUGCAGAAGAAAGGUAUCUAUUGUUACCUCCUGCUGAUGAAAGAGGCAAGGGAGACUCCUUGUGUCAUCGUGCUGGUGCAACCUGCUUCUGUGAGAGACUGGCUAAGAGAGGGCAGCUUCCAGCAGUUUCAUCAAUAUCUCUCCAGAAGAGCUUCCUGAAAUGAGUGCUGCAUAUUGUUUCACAGUAAAGUUGAUCUUACAAUAAUGAGAAGCACAUCCUGGAAUGAAACAGUAACCAUUAUUGCUCACACUGGUUCAUCUGAGGAAUGUAAAAUACAUGAGAACAAUAAGUAAUUCUCAUGUACUGUUGAAAAUUCUUGAACUGUGCUGUUCAAUUCAAAUCCUGUCUUUGUGGAGCUUCAGUUAUUUUAAGUUUAAUAUACAUAUUACAAGAACACCACAAAAACAAAAAUACAGUAUUUACAA
Pogona vitticeps (central bearded dragon) is the source of this 538-nucleotide non-coding RNA. NCBI's taxonomy places the organism in Eukaryota, Metazoa, Chordata, Lepidosauria, Squamata, Agamidae. The record is from RefSeq and is a predicted model, not a curated record.